GACGAACGCUGGCGGCGUGCUUAACACAUGCAAGUCGAACGGAAAGGCCCUGCUUUUGUGGGGUGCUCGAGUGGCGAACGGGUGAGUAACACGUGAGUAACCUGCCCUUGACUUUGGGAUAACUUCAGGAAACUGGGGCUAAUACCGGAUAGGAGCUCCUGCUGCAUGGUGGGGGUUGGAAAGUUUCGGCGGUUGGGGAUGGACACGCGGCUUAUCAGCUUGUUGGUGGGGUAGUGGCUUACCAAGGCUUUGACGGGUAGCCGGCCUGAGAGGGUGACCGGCCACAUUGGGACUGAGAUACGGCCCAGACGCGUACGGGAGGCAGCAGUGGGGAAUAUUGCGCAAUGGGCGGAAGCCUGAUGCAGCAGCGCCGCGUGCGGGAUGACGGCCUUCGGGUUGUAAACCGCUUUCGCCUGUGACGAAGCGUGAGUGACGGUAAUGGGUAAAGAAGCACCGGCUAACUACGUG
RNAcentral lists this ribosomal RNA (468 nucleotides) under uncultured bacterium. Its description in RNAcentral is "partial 16S ribosomal RNA". It matches the Rfam family "Bacterial small subunit ribosomal RNA", at positions 28 to 507 of the family's 1533-position model. The record is from RNAcentral.